GAUGAACGCUAGCGGCAGGCUUAAUACAUGCAAGUCGAGGGGCAACAGGGGUAGCAAUACCUGCUGGCGACCGGCAAACGGGUGCGGAACACGUACAGAACCUUCCUUUAAGUUGGAGAUAGCCCGGAGAAAUCCGGAUUAAUACCUAAUAGUAUUAUGGUGUGGCAUCACAUUAUAAUUAAAGCCUUGGCGCUUAGAGAUGGCUGUGCGUAUGAUUAGGUAGUUGGGCGGGUAACGGCCCACCAAGCCUUCGAUCAUUAACUGGUGUGAGAGCACGACCAGUCACACGGGCACUGAGACACGGGCCCGACUCCUACGGGAGGCAGCAGUAAGGAAUAUUGGUCAAUGGACGCAAGUCUGAACCAGCCAUGCCGCGUGAAGGAUGAAGGUCCUCUGGAUUGUAAACUUCUUUUAUGUGGGAAGAAACCCGGGAAUUCUUUUCCGGUUGACGGUACCAUAGGAAUAAGCACCGGCUAACUCCGUGCCAG
This 488-nucleotide ribosomal RNA is filed under the name uncultured bacterium. RNAcentral describes it as "bacterial SSU rRNA". It matches the Rfam family "Bacterial small subunit ribosomal RNA", at positions 28 to 511 of the family's 1533-position model. The record is from RNAcentral.